Molecule: ribosomal RNA, 450 nt
Filed under: uncultured bacterium
Lineage: Bacteria
Description: partial 16S ribosomal RNA
Rfam family: Bacterial small subunit ribosomal RNA
Source: RNAcentral
GUGGGGAAUUUUGGACAAUGGGCGCAAGCCUGAUCCAGCAAUGCCGCGUGCAGGAAGAAGGCCUUCGGGUUGUAAACUGCUUUUGUACGGAACGAAAAGGCUCUGGUUAAUACCUGGGGCUCAUGACGGUACCGUAAGAAUAAGCACCGGCUAACUACGUGCCAGCAGCCGCGGUAAUACGUAGGGUGCAAGCGUUAAUCGGAAUUACUGGGCGUAAAGCGUGCGCAGGCGGUUUUGUAAGACAGACGUGAAAGCCCGGGGCUCAACCUGGGAAUGGCGUUUGUGACUGCAAAGCUGGAGUGCGGCAGAGGGGGAUGGAAUUCCGCGUGUAGCAGUGAAAUGCGUAGAUAUGCGGAGGAACACCGAUGGCGAAGGCAAUCCCCUGGGCCUGCACUGACGCUCAUGCACGAAAGCGUGGGGAGCAAACAGGAUUAGAUACCCUAGUAGUCC